Molecule: non-coding RNA, 388 nt
Organism: Drosophila melanogaster (fruit fly)
Lineage: Eukaryota; Metazoa; Arthropoda; Insecta; Diptera; Drosophilidae
Source: Ensembl
AUUUAUUUCUUGGUCUGGAUAUAAUAUGACCAACACUAGUUGAUCCUGGCCGAAAUGAAGAGUACCAAUGAGACACACUUGCCUUUGGCACGGGGGCGUUGCCCAGAUAGGCGUGGCACUCGGCUGGGUAUUGUAUAUGUUGCAGCUAGAUGCACUGCUGAUACAGCCGACUAUCUGCAACUGCAACACUGUUUGCAAUCAAUUAUGCCGGAUGGGUGAUAGCCACCAAUGCCAGACGCAUGCCCACAUGAUGCAGUGUGCAGCUGUCAGGAGUCGGAAGACCAUCAUCGAUGGCAGGCGAACCAUAAAGAUCCGAUUCCAUUCGAUUUGGAGCACUCAGGAUUUUAUCCCGGACUAAGUUCAUUUAGGGACGGGUGUACGCAACGUG